Vigna unguiculata (cowpea) is the source of this 2131-nucleotide RNA transcript. It is a transcript of the gene named esterase/lipase/thioesterase family protein, with no coding region annotated. The record is from RefSeq and is a predicted model, not a curated record. NCBI's taxonomy places the organism in Eukaryota, Viridiplantae, Streptophyta, Magnoliopsida, Fabales, Fabaceae.
UGCAUGUGACGUGGCAUCUCCAAACUCACUUUUUAUUUACCCAAACCCAACCCCAACCCCUCAAAAACAACACAAAGCAAAUUUCUGACUCUCAUUCUCUCUCUCGAUUCUACUCUGCUCUCCUUUCUUCCGUCAACGGCGCUUCUCACUGUGGCCACCGGGUGAACCUUUUCGGUUUGUGGACACGCUUUAAUGUACAGAAGCAGCAAUAUUGUGGCUAGGGUUUUUAAUCGUCAAAUUUGCACUCCUCCUCCUGGCACUAGUUUCUGGUCUGAUUCUGCGAAAGUGUGAUUGAACAUUGGAGAUCGACAUAGGAAGACGAAGAGCUAUGGAUUCUUCUUCUUCUUCUUCUCUUAUGGCUUCGCUUCCAGAAAAUGCGACGGAGGAGCAUUCACAACAGCAAACUCAACCCGAUUCUGCUUUCGCUUCCGUUCCUCAAUGCCCACCGACUAAGAGCUCUUCAGAAAAAUACGCGCCUCUAGAUUGGUCCCAGUAUUUUGACAAAGAAGACGAUGUUGCGAUUCCCGCAUCUAACGAUGUGUUUCAUAUUUACACGGCAGGAACUGAAGGUCCCGUUGUAUUCUGUUUACACGGGGGUGGUUAUUCCGGGCUUUCGUUUGCUGUCUCAGCAAGUAAAAUUAAGGAGAAAGCUAGGGUAGUAGCUAUGGACUUGAGAGGCCAUGGGAAAUCAUCAACAGAAAAUGAUAUUGACUUAUCUGUUGAGACUAUGUGCAACGAUGUAUUUGCUGUUAUAAAGGAAUUAUAUGGCAACUCUCCUCCAGCAAUGAUUCUUGUUGGUCACAGCAUGGGAGGAUCAAUUGCUGUGCAUGUUGCUGCAAGAAAAUCAUUGUCCACCUUGGCUGGGUUGGUUGUCGUGGAUGUUGUAGAGGGAACAGCUAUGGCUUCACUCAUUCAUAUGCAGAAAAUUCUAUCAAACAGGAUGCAACAUUUUUCAAGCAUUGAAAAAGCUAUUGAAUGGAGUGUCAGGGCGGGGUCUGUAAGAAAUAUUGAUUCUGCUCGUGUAUCCAUCCCUCCCACAUUAAAAUAUGAUGAGUCAAAGAAAUGUUAUCUUUAUCGGACUGAGCUGGAAAAGACUGAACAAUAUUGGAAAGGCUGGUAUGAAGGACUCUCUGAUAAAUUUUUGUCAUCUCCAGUUGCAAAGUUGUUGUUAUUAGCAGGAACAGAUAGAUUGGACAGGUCUCUCACAAUUGGCCAGAUGCAAGGGAAGUUUCAAAUGGUAGUUGUAAGGCAUACAGGGCACGCUAUUCAGGAAGAUGUACCUGAUGAAUUUGCAACUCUGAUUGUCAACUUCAUUUCUCGGAACCGAAUAGGCCCUCAUGGAGUUGAGUGGCUGCCUUGUUAGAGGGUAUGGACGAACCUCAACUCCCAAUCUUUGUUUCUUCAGUGUAUGAUUCUUAUGAGUAUUCAGUCCUAGGGUGCUCAAGGACAACUGAUUGGUCAAAGAAAAAGCAACUUUUUAGUCACUCAAUGAUUUUAUUGUGCACAUGAUUACCCCUGAAAUACCCAAGUUCAGCUAAAAGAGCCAUCUUAUGGAUAAUAUGAUGAGUAAAUCCUAGCAGCCACUGCCCAGUUUCAUCCCUCAGCAGCUUGACAACUAUAUUCGGCAGGAUUACCUCAAGAAACCUCAUCUGGUCAUUUUACAUCAGUCCUUAUGCUAUUUCUCAAAAUUAUAUUAGUUUCAGUCUCACUUUCACAUUGGAUGGUAUCAAUGUAAUUGGAGAUACCUGGCCUUCUCAAGCCAGCCUUUUCAAAACCUUGAAUCUGGCUGGUGCUUAAGUAACCCGAGAAUGACCACUCUGCAAGAUGACGAUGAUCAUGGAUUUCUUACUUUUUUUAUUCCUUUACUUUGGAUAUAUAAUUAUGGAUACAAUAUUUAUGUUGAUAGGGGAGGAGGAUAGGUGAAACGAUUAUACAUCUCAGAUUAUUUUCAAAUGUAAUGAGCUGUAGGGGGAAGAUGAGGAAGGGCAUAGAUUUGCGCACUCAGCUAAGCGAAGUUAGUAUGGUCAUCGGUACUAUCCUUAGUGAAUUUUACGAAUACGAGGAAGAAAUGUUGAUGCAAUGUGAUUUUAGAUUUAGUUCUCAUAUUAUAAUGUAUCAGUUUAUUUUACAA